Molecule: ribosomal RNA, 416 nt
Filed under: Mytilus chilensis
Lineage: Eukaryota; Metazoa; Mollusca; Bivalvia; Mytilida; Mytilidae
Also listed under: 5 other names
Description: partial 28S ribosomal RNA
Source: RNAcentral
AGAGUACGUGAAACCGCUUAGAGGUAAACGGGUGGAUCCGCAUAGUCGGCCCGGGGAAUUCAACUUGCCGUACUGGCGGCGUGCGUCGGGCUUCAGGGAUCCGCAAGGACCCGCUCGGCGUUUUCGGCUGUCGUCGGCGAGUGCACUUUCCUCGGGUAGUGUGCCACGACCGGUUUCUGGGGCGGUCAUAAGCCGGUCGGGAAGGUGACUUCCUCUUCGGAGGCAGUGUUAUAGCCCGGCCAGGUCGACUCGUUCCGAGACCGAGGAUUUGCCGCGUCUCACUGCUCCCGGCUCUGUGCCUGCGUUCGACUGGGGAAGCACUGCUCUGCAGUUCUCUCCGACUGCGUGGGUAUUAUCGGUCGGGAAGCACGGGGCGCUCGCGGGUCAGUGGCGAAUCGGUCGGUCCUCCACCCGAC